Non-coding RNA from Zea mays, 139 nucleotides. Lineage: Eukaryota; Viridiplantae; Streptophyta; Magnoliopsida; Poales; Poaceae. The record is from Rfam.
CCGAUCGACGGCGACGAGCUCAUCUCGUACAUCAUCACCGGCCUUGACUACGACUACAAUCCGGUCAUCACCUCCCUCGUCGCGCGGGCUGAUCCGCUCACCAUUGGGGAGGUGUACUCCCAACUGCUCAGUUAUGAGC